RNAcentral lists this unclassified non-coding RNA (243 nucleotides) under Pleosporales sp. RNAcentral's name for it is "partial contains 5.8S ribosomal RNA, internal transcribed spacer 2, and large subunit ribosomal RNA". The record is from RNAcentral. Lineage: Eukaryota; Fungi; Ascomycota; Dothideomycetes; Pleosporales.
CGCACAUUGCGCCCUUUGGUAUUCCUUAGGGCAUGCCUGUUCGAGCGUCAUUGAAACCCUCAAGCUCUGCUUGGUGUUGGGUGUCUGUCCUGCCCCUGGCAUGGACUCGCCUCAAAGACAUUGGCGGUUGUGUAUUGACCGGAAGCGCAGCAAAGACGCGCCACUCCUGGUUCAAUGCCUCUCUCCAGGAAGCCAUACUUCUAGCUUGACCUCGGAUCAGGUAGGGAUACCCGCUGAACUUAA